Molecule: long non-coding RNA, 2319 nt
Filed under: Marmota monax (woodchuck)
Lineage: Eukaryota; Metazoa; Chordata; Mammalia; Rodentia; Sciuridae
Source: RNAcentral
UCACUGGGAUUACAGGUGUGUGCCACUGUGCCUGGCUCAAACCUCAUCAUAUUCUUUAGAAAUACGUCACUAAGUACAGUCUCCAGUAGCAAUGGGAAUUAAGUUCUCCCUCUUGGAGGGAGGAAAUCAAAGAAUCUGAAGACAUAUCUUGAAACCACUAUACUAGAUGUUGGAAAUGUAAAAGGCAAAAAACAACAUUAAGUAUUACAGAGGUAGCAAUUGCAUUACAAUUGCAAUUAGUAUUAUGGAGGAAGGAGGCUGUAAUUAUUAAAACUCAGAAGUUUACAGAGAAGGGAGCUGGGGGCAUAAUAUAGCGGGGUGGCUUAGCAUACAGGAGACCCUGGUUCAAACCCUGACACGCACACAAACACAUUAUAUAUAUAUAUAUAUAUAUAUAUAUAUAUAUAUAUAUAUUUAUUUGCAGAAAAGGCCCCAUGCAGCAGAAGCUCAGAUUUACAAAGAGGUACCAGCCAUCUGGUGCUUACGUCUGAGUCCGGGAAGCUCCUGUGAGCGUGGACCCAAACAGCUGCGGAGGAUGCUCUACUUCACCCUUGCUCGUCCUCGAGAGGGUUCAGAGAACCUCUUCUGUGAGUUCUACAAAGAAACAAAAGUCCCUGCAAGUUGGAAUAAAUUGCCACUUCAAGGGAGAAAUGCUGCGGAAGUGAUGCUCAGAGCAUGUCAGUCAAAGGAACAAGUGCCUGCUGCCUCCAAGUCGCCAGCCUCUUGCUAGCGCCCCCUGCAGGCAGGUCCUAGCAAGCCGGCAGUAGGCAAAGUGCAAAGGUGGUUUGCGGAGGCCUGCCCCGCCCCUGCCCCAGCCCCAGCCCAGGCCCUGUCCCAGCCCUAAGAAGCAAGGUAGAGGACAGCUGGUUUGAAGUUGAGAGGAGCUUAGUAACUUUAUUUUUAAAUUUUAGUUUUGCAGUGCUGAGAAUCAAAAGCAGGGCCUCUUGCAUGCUAGACAGACGCUCUACCAUUGAGCUACACCUCAUCCCCUAACAUACUUUAUUAAUUUGAAAAAAUUAGAUGAAGCUACACAAAAUCAAAGAACAAAAUAUGAUCCCCAAUACUGUUUUGUAGUUUCCCUACCCAGGGGCAAUCAUUGUUUUGUGAGUGUGAGUAUGUGGUACUGGGAAUUGAACCCAGGGGUGCUCUACCCUCUUAGCUACAUUCCACACUUGUUCUUUUUUAUUUUUAGAUACAGUUUUGCAAAGCUGCUGAGGCUGACCUCAAACUUUCAAUCUCCUGCCUCAGCCUCCUGAGUCUCUGGGAUUAUAGGCACACACCACCACACCCAGCCAGAGGCUAUGACUCUCACUAAUAACCUGUUGAACAUCUUUCCUGAAGUGUCCUUAUUUUAUAAAUGAGAAAAUUGGCACAGAGAAGCUGGGAGUUACUAACAGACACACAGCAAGGGAUAGAAGCAGGGUUUAAUCCAAGGCUGUCCCCGCUCCAAAGCCCAUUCUUUUAACCAUUGUGGAUCAUGCUUACAUACAUGAAUUAUAGUUGAUGUUAUAUGUACAUAGCUUCCUGUAAAUUCUUUCUUAUUUACAAUCAUGCUUUCACAUCUGUCCAUACCAGGGAGUGAAGACUUCAGCACAGGAAUGGGGGAGACAUGUGAUUCACCCCUUCCUGCUCCCUACCAAAGCAUCACCCACAUCGUGAACGAACAAAAAGCUUUACUUUAAAAGACACAUUCAAAACAGCCUCAUGGGGAUGUGAUGCACACAUCACAUGGGAGGCUGAGGCAGGAAGAUAGAAAUUUUCCAAUUACCCUGGACAACUUAAAUAGUCUCUGUUUCAAAAUAACAAAACCAGUGUAGUGGUGCACACCUAUAAUCCCCACCACUCAGAGCUGAGGCAGGAGGAUUGCAAGUACAAGGCCAAUCUGAGGAACUUAGCAAGGCCCUGCACAACUAGUCUCUAAAUAAAAAGUAAACAAAGGGGGGGCACAUGAGGAUGUGGCUCAGUGGUUAAGCACCCAUGGUUCAAUCCCCAAUAACAAGAGAAAGAGAGAGAGAAGGAAAGGAAGGAGGAGGGAGAGGGAUAAAGGAUGUCGCUCAAUGGUAGAGCGCCCCUGGGUUCAACCCCCAGGACUACAAACAACAAAAUUUCCCAUUAGGACUUAACACAUUUUAUUAUCUAUUCUUCUAAUGUAGACAUUCAGGUUCAUCUACUUCACAAAGUUUUUUUUUUUUUAUAGCUCUUAAAUAUCCCAGAAAUGAUUCUAAGUGCUUUGUGAGUUUUCAUCUUUUCAAUGUAAAAUGUGUCCCCAGAGACCCAGUGUGAGGAUUUCUAUAGAAAUGAAAUAUUUUAGCUGCACCA